AGGUUGUCAUGACAAUUUUCACUGAGAAGCUGUUUCUGUAGAGGGAGCAAAAAAAGAAACAGGGGGAAAUGCUUAUUAAAGCCAGGCCUAAUUAGUCAUUGUCUUCCUGAACAAACAGUGAGGAAACCCAGGGGAGGUGACCCCUCAGUGAAUGUAUCCUACAGAAGAGCCGGAUCUGGAACUCUGCUUGAGCAAGCCAGUGUAAAAAUUACAACAGCUUACUGAGCCCUGUGCAGAAGCUGAUAUUGAGAGCAUGGAGGCUUCCUGCUAAAGGCCAGCAUCAGCUUGUCAGCCACACAGGUGAGGCUGGGAGAGGAUCCUCAGUCCUGAUCAAGACUUCAGAUGAGAUCACAGCCCUGGCUGACAUCUGACUGCAACUUCAUGAGAGACCCUGAGCCACAGCCCCCAGCCCAGCCACUCCUGAAUUUCUGGUCCACAGAAACUGUAAGAGAUGUAAAUAAAUUAUUAUUGCUGCUUUUAAGCCACUAAA
This is a long non-coding RNA of Homo sapiens (human), 490 nucleotides long. Ensembl annotates it as long intergenic non-protein coding RNA 384. Lineage: Eukaryota; Metazoa; Chordata; Mammalia; Primates; Hominidae. The record is from Ensembl.